RNAcentral lists this long non-coding RNA (869 nucleotides) under Homo sapiens (human). RNAcentral describes it as "HSALNT0385424". The record is from RNAcentral. Lineage: Eukaryota; Metazoa; Chordata; Mammalia; Primates; Hominidae.
UAUGAAAUGAAAUGUUUUGGUUAAGGAUUUUUUAAACAAAUUUCACAUUACACUACUGGCUUUACUAAAUCUGAGUCUUGUAUUUCUGAACAGGGCACCAUGGCCCAGCACUGUCACCUUUUCCAAGGAACCUGCUGGAGCUCCUGUGGAAGCUGCUCCUUGGGCCGAUGAAAUCCCUUAGCUGGUAGGACCUUCUUUAGUCACCACAGGAUGCCUGCCAUUCAUGAACAGGAAGGAGAGGAUGGGCUUUGAAUAAAAAACAGGAUCCGGAAAAUAUUUGUGAGGCCACUUGGACUUCAGUGUGAAAUAAAUAUUUUCUGGCUUUGGGAGGUGUCCCUCUUGGUGGAACACAGUAAGUGUCAAAGAUGGACACAUAGUCCAUUAUUUGUAGUGUAUGGGAGCAGACCACAAAUUAAUGUUUGGAGAACAAUUUUGUCGUAACAGACACUGUUGAGGCUCAGCUGUACAGAACUGGAAAAGUCUUUCAGCUUGGCACAUGUCCUGAUUCAGCCUUUGUUUAACAUAUAUUCCAAUCUGGAUUCUAUCUUCACUGGCUAGAAAGACCACCUGAUAUGUGCACCACAACACAGGAGCUGCUGGAGAGGGGGUAGUAUUAUCACCUCAAACUCACAGCCACUCCAUAUUUUUCAAAAGCCAGCUUAGACAGAGGUGUACUGAUAGCUGCACAGAGAAAAUGCGGUCCAUCCAUUCUUCUCAGUGAUGUACAUUUCUCAAUCAGCAACCACGUGGUUUUAGCAAAAACCACAGAAGUGGUUUUGAUGUACCAGCCUUGAGUGUCACAUCUCCCAACCAUACCAAAUGGGUCACCUAACUGGGGGUGGGGGGUGGCCGUCAUAAACGAGAUUUAG